Molecule: ribosomal RNA, 446 nt
Filed under: uncultured bacterium
Lineage: Bacteria
Description: partial 16S ribosomal RNA
Rfam family: Bacterial small subunit ribosomal RNA
Source: RNAcentral
CCUACGGGAGACAGCAGUCGAGAAUCAUUCACAAUGGGGGAAACCCUGAUGGGGCGACGCCGCGUGGGGGAAUGAAGGUCUACGGAUUGUAAACCCCUGUCAUGUGGGAGCAAAUUAAAAAGAUAGUACCACAAGAGGAAGAGACGGUUAACUCUGUGCCAGCAGCUGCGGUAAUACAGAGGUCUCAAGCGUUGUUCGGAAUAACUGGGCGUAAAGCGUGCGUAGGCUGUUUCGUAAGUCGUGUGUGAAAGGCGCGGGCUCAACCCGCGGAUGGCACUUGAUACUGCGAGACUAGAGUAAUGGAGGGGGAGCCGGUAUUCUCGGUGUAGCGGUGAAAUGCGUAGAUAUCGAGAGGAACACUCGUGGCGAAGGCGGGUUCCUGGACAUUAACUGACGCUGAGGCACGAAAGCCAGGGGAGCGAAAAGGAUUAGAUACCCGUGUAGUC